AGUGAACGCUGGCGGUAGGCCUAACACAUGCAAGUCGAACGGCAGCACAGUAAGAGCUCGCUCUUACGGGUGGCGAGUGGCGGACGGGUGAUGAAUACAUCGGAAUCUACUUUUUCGUGGGGGAUAACGUAGGGAAACUUACGCUAAUACCGCAUACGACCUACGGGUGAAAGCAUGGGAUCUUCGGACCUUGCGCGAUUGAAUGAGCCGAUGUCGGAUUAGCUAGUUGGCGGGGUAAAGGCCCACCAAGGCGACGAUCCGUAGCUGGUCUGAGAGGAUGAUCAGCCACACUGGAACUGAGACACGGUCCAGACUCCUACGGGAGGCAGCAGUGGGGAAUAUUGGACAAUGGGCGCAAGCCUGAUCCAGCCAUACCGCGUGGGUGAAGAAGGCCUUCGGGUUGUAAAGCCCUUUUGUUGGGAAAGAAAAGCAGCAGGUUAAUACCCCGCUGUUCUGACGGUACCCAAAGAAUAAGCACCGGCUAACUUCGUG
Molecule: ribosomal RNA, 492 nt
Filed under: uncultured bacterium
Lineage: Bacteria
Description: partial 16S ribosomal RNA
Rfam family: Bacterial small subunit ribosomal RNA
Source: RNAcentral